UUGGUGGGGUAACGGCCUACCAAGGCGAUGACGGCUAGCCGGUCUGAGAGGACGAUCGGCCACACUGGGACUGAGACACUGCCCAGACUCCUACGGGAGGCUGCAGUCGAGAAUCUUCCGCAAUGGGCGAAAGCCUGACGGAGCGACACCGCGUGCAGGAUGAAGGCCUUCGGGUUGUAAACUGCUGUCACGCUAUAGGAAACGGUAGGUGUUAAUAGCGCCUAUCCUGACUAAAGCGAGAGGAAGCACCGGCUAACUCCGUGCCA
Molecule: ribosomal RNA, 266 nt
Filed under: uncultured Chlorophyceae
Lineage: Eukaryota; Viridiplantae; Chlorophyta; Chlorophyceae
Description: partial Bacterial small subunit ribosomal RNA
Rfam family: Bacterial small subunit ribosomal RNA
Source: RNAcentral